RNAcentral lists this ribosomal RNA (497 nucleotides) under uncultured bacterium. Its description in RNAcentral is "partial 16S ribosomal RNA". It matches the Rfam family "Bacterial small subunit ribosomal RNA", at positions 28 to 507 of the family's 1533-position model. The record is from RNAcentral.
GAUGAACGCUGGCGGCGUGCCUAAUACAUGCAAGUCGAGCGAACAGACGAGGAGCUUGCUCCUCUGACGUUAGCGGCGGACGGGUGAGUAACACGUGGAUAACCUACCUAUAAGACUGGGAUAACUUCGGGAAACCGGAGCUAAUACCGGAUAAUAUAUUGAACCGCAUGGUUCAAUAGUGAAAGACGGUUUUGCUGUCACUUAUAGAUGGAUCCGCGCCGCAUUAGCUAGUUGGUAAGGUAACGGCUUACCAAGGCAACGAUGCGUAGCCGACCGGAGAGGGUGAUCGGCCACACUGGAACGGAGACACGGUCCAGACUCCUACGGGAGGCAGCAGUAGGGAAUCUGCCGCAAUGGGCGAAAGCUUGACGGAGCAACGCCGCGUGAGUGAUGAAGGUCUUCGGAUCGUAAAACUCUGUUAUUAGGGAAGAACAAAUGUGUAAGUAACUAUGCACGUCUUGACGGUACCUAAUCAGAAAGCCACGGCUAACUACGUG